UCGUAUGUUGGUACGUACGAUGCUAAACAACGGCAGAGAAAUGUUACUGAGGCGAGGAAGCAUCAGCAACUAAAACCCACCAAAAACCCCUUUUUUUGAAAAAUAAAAAAAUUAUACCAAGUUUUCCGUAGGUGACCUGCGGAAGGAUCAUU
Molecule: ribosomal RNA, 152 nt
Filed under: Paratlanticus ussuriensis
Lineage: Eukaryota; Metazoa; Arthropoda; Insecta; Orthoptera; Tettigoniidae
Description: partial 18S ribosomal RNA
Source: RNAcentral